AUACUGACAGACCAACCUAUCAAUGACAAUGAAAAUCAAAUUGAGACGGAAAAUUGCUCUGCCAUGCUUGGAGAAGAGAUUACCGAUGAGGGCAGUGUGGAACAAGACAUGAAGAGUGACUCAGAAAAUGAACAUACUGAAAAUCAUCAGACUGAACAAAUACCUUUGAAGUCAGAAGGGACACAAUUUGGAGGUGAAAUUGGGACACAUCCGCAGGAAGUCCCAAUGAUGACUGAAGUGUAUCAAGGAAAUGACAUGAUGCC
Long non-coding RNA from Ochotona princeps (American pika), 263 nucleotides. RefSeq lists it as uncharacterized. The transcript has 3 exons. Lineage: Eukaryota; Metazoa; Chordata; Mammalia; Lagomorpha; Ochotonidae. The record is from RefSeq and is a predicted model, not a curated record.